Long non-coding RNA from Chrysoperla carnea, 321 nucleotides. RefSeq lists it as uncharacterized. The transcript is spliced from 3 exons. The record is from RefSeq and is a predicted model, not a curated record. Lineage: Eukaryota; Metazoa; Arthropoda; Insecta; Neuroptera; Chrysopidae.
UGUUAGUAAUAAAUUUUAGAAACUCAAAUGUCAAAUACAUAUGUGUACGAUGAACAUGGAAUUUAUCGUUUGUAUAAUUCGACGUCGCGAUUUGGAUGAAUGUCCAAUCUGUUCCUGUGUUGGCGAAACUUUUAGGUUAUGUUUACCUGUAAAAUGUUGAGUGUUCAAUUUGUUGAAGUUAACACUUGCCGAAACCCAUCAUAUAAUUGGAGUUUUAAUUUAAUAUCCUCCAAUUCCUGGAUGACAAACUCCUAAUUGAAACCCACGUGUUGGACGUAUCUUCCACAGAUAUUUAUCCAGAAGUACAAAAUUGAAAUACAG